AUUGAACGCUGGCGGCAUGCCUUACACAUGCAAGUCGAACGGUAACGGGCCUUCGGGUGCCGACGAGUGGCGAACGGGUGAGUAAUACAUCGGAACGUGCCCGAUCGUGGGGGAUAACGAGGCGAAAGCUUUGCUAAUACCGCAUACGAUCUGCGGAUGAAAGCAGGGGACCGCAAGGCCUUGCGCGGACGGAGCGGCCGAUGGCAGAUUAGGUAGUUGGUGGGAUAAAAGCUUACCAAGCCGACGAUCUGUAGCUGGUCUGAGAGGAUGAUCAGCCACACUGGGACUGAGACACGGCCCAGACUCCUACGGGAGGCAGCAGUGGGGAAUUUUGGACAAUGGGCGCAAGCCUGAUCCAGCCAUGCCGCGUGCAGGAUGAAGGCCUUCGGGUUGUAAACUGCUUUUGUACGGAACGAAAAGCCUUCUUUUAAUACAGGAGGGUCAUGACGGUACCGUAAGAAUAAGCACCGGCUAACUACGUG
RNAcentral lists this ribosomal RNA (482 nucleotides) under uncultured bacterium. RNAcentral's name for it is "partial 16S ribosomal RNA". It matches the Rfam family "Bacterial small subunit ribosomal RNA", at positions 30 to 507 of the family's 1533-position model. The record is from RNAcentral.